AGAGCGAACGCUGGCGGCAGGCCUAACACAUGCAAGUCGAGCGCCCGUAGCAAUACGGGAGCGGCAGACGGGAUAGUAACACGUGGGAACGCGCCCUUCGGUUCGGAAUAACUCAGGGAAACUUGAGCUAAUACCGAAUACGCCCUUACGGGGAAAGAUUUAUUGCCGAAGGAACGGCCCGCGUCCGAUUAGCUAGUUGGUGAGGUAAUGGCUCACCAAGGCGACGAUCGGUAGCUGGUCUGAGAGGAUGACCAGCAUCACUGGGACUGAGACACGGCCCAGACUCCUACGGGAGGCAGCAGUGGGGAAUAUUGGACAAUGGGCGCAAGCCUGAUCCAGCCAUGCCGCGUGGAUGAUGAAGGCCUUAGGGUUGUAAAGUCCUUUUAACGGGGAAGAUAAUGACGGUACCCGUAGAAUAAGCCCCGGCUAACUCGUGCCAGCAGCCGC
This 447-nucleotide ribosomal RNA is filed under the name uncultured bacterium. Its description in RNAcentral is "SSU rRNA". It matches the Rfam family "Bacterial small subunit ribosomal RNA", at positions 26 to 518 of the family's 1533-position model. The record is from RNAcentral.